This 65-nucleotide transfer RNA is filed under the name Dipodomys ordii (Ord's kangaroo rat). It matches the Rfam family "tRNA". Rfam says of the family: Transfer RNA (tRNA) molecules are approximately 80 nucleotides in length. The record is from Rfam by way of RNAcentral. Lineage: Eukaryota; Metazoa; Chordata; Mammalia; Rodentia; Heteromyidae.
UGGGAAAUGGCUUAGUGGUAGAGUGCUUGCCUAACAUGCAUGAAGCCCUGAGGGCGAUUUCUCAA